AUUUAAAUAGUUUAACAAAAACAUUGGUCUUGUAAACCAAAAAUAAGAAAUCCAUUCUUUUUAAAUA
RNAcentral lists this transfer RNA (67 nucleotides) under Chironomus tentans. RNAcentral describes it as "tRNA-Thr". It matches the Rfam family "tRNA". From Rfam's summary of the family: Transfer RNA (tRNA) molecules are approximately 80 nucleotides in length. Lineage: Eukaryota; Metazoa; Arthropoda; Insecta; Diptera; Chironomidae. The record is from RNAcentral.